CUACGGGGGGCUGCAGUGGGGAAUAUUGGACAAUGGGCGAAAGCCUGAUCCAGCCAUGCCGCGUGUGUGAAGAAGGCCUUCGGGUUGUAAAGCACUUUCAGUGGGGAAGAAAGCCUUGGGGCUAAUACCCUCGAGGAAGGACAUCACCCACAGAAGAAGCACCGGCUAACUCCGUGCCAGCAGCCGCGGUAAUACGGAGGGUGCGAGCGUUAAUCGGAAUUACUGGGCGUAAAGCGCGCGUAGGCGGUCUGAUAAGCCGGUUGUGAAAGCCCCGGGCUCAACCUGGGAACGGCAUCCGGAACUGUCAGGCUAGAGUGCAGGAGAGGAAGGUAGAAUUCCCGGUGUAGCGGUGAAAUGCGUAGAGAUCGGGAGGAAUACCAGUGGCGAAGGCGGCCUUCUGGACUGACACUGACGCUGAGGUGCGAAAGCGUGGGUAGCAAACAGGAUCAGAUACCCCGGUAGUC
RNAcentral lists this ribosomal RNA (464 nucleotides) under Vreelandella stevensii. RNAcentral describes it as "partial 16S ribosomal RNA". It matches the Rfam family "Bacterial small subunit ribosomal RNA", at positions 339 to 795 of the family's 1533-position model. The record is from RNAcentral. Lineage: Bacteria; Pseudomonadati; Pseudomonadota; Gammaproteobacteria; Oceanospirillales; Halomonadaceae.